Apodemus sylvaticus (European woodmouse) is the source of this 5589-nucleotide long non-coding RNA. RefSeq lists it as uncharacterized. The record is from RefSeq and is a predicted model, not a curated record. Lineage: Eukaryota; Metazoa; Chordata; Mammalia; Rodentia; Muridae. The transcript is spliced from 2 exons.
GGGAUCUGAGUAGAGAAGAUUACAGAGGUAGAUAAGAUAACAGAGGAGAACUGCCCAGCACGCCUCCCGCUCUUUAUGCAGGCACACUCAACCAGAACAGUGUCGCCGACUUUGCCCGUCAGCGAGAGUUAUACACAGCUCAGCAACAGACCAACCUGCACAUCAGGCAAGAUCUCCCAAAAGCAUGAAUAAGAAAAGAGUACUAUAUCGUUUUUAUGAUCUUUAUAAAGUUCUUCAUAAUAUCCAGGUUGCCUACUUCUGGAAAAAGUACUGAGCAGACUCACUAACCAGGUCAUUUAGUGAUGUCCAUUUUGUGUUCACAGUAGCAGUUGCAAACAUAAAUACACCAGGAAUGGCAAUACAUGCCCUGCCUAUAAUCUCAGUACAUGGGAGGCAGAUGCAGAAAGACAAGGAACUGAAGCCUGGGCUGUAUAAUCGAAUUCCAGGCCGAUCUGAGCUAUAGAGUGACACCAUAGUGGUAAAUAUUAUCAAGGGCCAAGGAGGUGGUUUAGUGUGUAAAGUGCUUGCAGCAAACUUGUCAUGGCCUGAGCUCGAUUCACAAGAACCAUUAAGAGGCAGAUGCAGUGGAAGGCAGGGUGGAAGAGGCGGGUAGACAGGUGCAACUGGAGGACUCACAGUCAGCAGGCCUCUAAACCCAAGUAUUAUUUUAUAGAUGAUUUAAAACACUAUAUGCAUGACUAAUGAUCUGGUCACGGUCAUCAUAUGUAGAUCGACAUCAUUUUUUCCUAAAACAGCACUGAAAAAGGUAAAGGGAAAACCAGGCUCUGUCUUUUAGAGCCCUCAUGUGGAUGUGAAGGACUACAUUUGCAGAGCAACACAGCAGGAGUCUGGGCGUGAAGCUGGGUACCAAGAUUCUGCAAACAAAGCUUCCACAGGGCAAGCACCUCACUGGGGAACAUGACACUAGAAGUCACAGGUAACUGGACACAGAUGACAAGUGCCAUCAUCCCAGUCUUCCCUUUUCUGCUGGUGUGUGUGUGUGUGUGUGUGUGUAUUACAGUUUGGGUGUUUGCUGGUUAUAAAAGACAGAUUGUACAUUAGUUUCCAUAUAGUUGAAGCAUUGCUACUCAUCAGGCAUGGUACUUGGUACCUGCAACCCCAGUGCUUGAGAAGCUGAGAGAAGACUGCUGUGGCUUUUAGGUUAGCUUCCCAGGGCUGGGAUUACAGAUGUGGCCUCCCACUCUCAGUUCCGCCUCUUUCUUUUCCUUUUUAAGAAUUCACUUCGUAUGCUGAGCAACAACAAAAGACAUGGCAAUCUGAGAAGACUAAUCUGUGCUUUGAUAGGAGCAUCUAGAACACAGGUCCCUACCAUACAUAGCCCAGUAGAGACAACUGAGAAUACUCAAUGAUGUAUCUCAAGACACGAUGGCAGGGGGAUCUGUGAAGAAACUGAAGAGCUCUGUGGGCCAUAGCAGUGAACUCAGUACACAUGGACAUAGUCAGCAUGACAAGACUCAAACCACAAAAACUAUUCCAUUCCUUUGGAAUAGUUACUAACUACCAAGAACCAGCUGACAGUGAGCAAUCCCUGGAACAGCAUUUGGAACACACCAAGCUCAGGGACAGGACCAACUGAACGGGGACACCUGUGAAUGCCAGUCCUCCUGGAUACAACAGACAACUCUACAGCACAGAACAGCAUGACUUUUAGCCAAGGGUUGGGAAAACCUUUAUUCUUAAAAUACAUACCAGUUCACUUAUUUGAUCGAAAAAGUAGAUAUUCCAGCCAUCAACAAGUAUUUCUGGUUUCUUUUCACCUUUGUAUAUCUGAAAUUAAUUUUAAAAGUAUUAUUAUAAAAUGAAAAAUUAAAAUGCUGAUACCAAAAUGCCCAGGAAAAGUUACAAGAUUUCACUACAGAACAAGAGCACGCUGGCAGAAGCAGAGGCUCAGACCCAGCCCACCGCCUCCUGUGGGAGCCCACCGCCUCCUGUGGGAGCCCACCUCUUGAAGCACAGGGAUGACAGGUGGAGACCUUUGCUGGAGGAAGUAUAGCACCAUAAGAGUGUAAGCGUAGGAUGACAAGCUGCCUCUGGACGCAUCUCCGAUGUCACACAUCUAGAGGGAGAGAACACUCUGAAGGGUGUUUCUACUUAGCUUGCAGUCACCCCAUCACCAUCACCAUUGAAGAACUAAUAUGAAAAUCACAUCUUAAAAAAUGAAAAUGUGUCAACAAAAGCAACCAACCCAACCUGAAUCAAACUGAAUUCAACAAAGAAGUAGACUGUUAUUUACCGCAGGAGCAUCAAGAAAAGUUAACACACUAAGGUCAGGCAGUGCUGGUGCAUGCCUUUAAUACCAGCACUGGGGAGGCAGAGGCAGGAGGGUCUCUGAGUUUGAGGCCAGCCAGGUCUACACAGCAAUUUCCAGGUAAACACAAGCAGUGUACCCACCUUUGUGAACACUUUCAUGGUGUAGCACAGGUAUUUCACUCUGGGGUCAAUGGCCGAGUAUGCAAACAAGAGCCUUGUGUUAUGAAGAGCCUAUGAAAAGGGAAAACAUGCUGUGAGGCUCUUGCUGAUAGGUAAAUGCUGUGACCUGGAAAGGCUCAUCCUGUAGUACAGUAUGCAGUAAGGCAUACUGCAGUAGAGAUUGCCUUUUUCUUUCUGAGAUAAGCUGUGUUAAUCUAAGAGAUGACACAUAGGUAUAACUUCUGAUUUCAUGAAUAAAUCUUUGGUCUGAACAGUGGUGUGGUGACAUAGGUCUGCCAUCCUGGCACUUUGGAGAUGGAGGCAGAAGGAUGAUAAGUUUAAGGUCAGCAUGAGAGGUCCUGUCUCAAAAACCAAUACAGUGAAACCAAAUGGAUUAAGAUAAGAAAACACACAAUAAAAUAAAAUAAGAAGUUUUCUUUGAGUUCAUGUAAGACUCUCUGUGGCAUCAUUUGUGUGAGAAGCUCCCAGGUCCCAUCGGGUCUCUUCUUUUGGUGUGAGGCCAAGAAGGGACCCAGCACACAUACAAAAUUACAGGCAGGUUCAGGCCACGCAGAUAAAGCUGACUUUAUCUGAAGUGAAUCUUCACAAGUGCAUGAGCUCACACACGCUCACACACACACACACACACACACACACGUGCACACACACUCUCAUUUACAUAUAUAUACACACAUACACACUCUCACAUGCAUGCACACACAUACACUCUCACACACAUUCUCACAUGCAUACACACACUCUCAUAUACACACACACUCUCAUAUACACAAACACACAUACAUACUCUCACAUACACACAUUCUAACAUACAUUCUCAUGCAUAUACACAUUCUCACAUACACACAUACUUACAUACACACACACUUUCUGUCACACACACAUUCUCACAUGUACGCAUGCGCACACACACAUGCACACACUCUCACACUUACACACACACACACACACACACACACACUUUCUCUCAUGUACAUACAUACACAUUCUCACACCUAAACCACCGAGCUUUAUAUUUAUUUACCAACUUACUGACUUGAUAUGCACUGUGAUGGAAUGCUAAGCACUCUUAGCCCAUGUGGAUGUGAAGAGCCACUGAAUUCUCCACAGUCCCAGUCUCAGAACACUCUGGGCACACACUAACCACUCAGAUGAUUCCCAAAGAGUAACGAAAACCAGAGCAAAGAGCUGUUCAGCUGUGUGGGGCUAAAACUGAGCAUCCAAAAAGACAGCACUAAGACAGAUGAAACAAGGCCUUGAAUCCUUAGAUACUUUUUUGUUGUUUGAGACAGGGUUUCUCUGUGUAAUAGCCCUGGCUGUUCUAGACUCAUUUUGUAGACCAGGAAAGCCUCCAACUCACAGACAUCCACCUGCCUCUGCCUUGCCUCCCAAGAGCUGGGAUCAAAGGCCUGCACCACCAUGUGUGGCUCAUUUACUUGUGUUUACAGAGACAUUCAUUCAUUCCUGUUCAUGUCCUUAAGAAACAGUCUAGCAGUAUGUGCUUGUAACCUUAGCACUGGCUGGAAGGGAGGAGCCAGGAAGAGCGGUGGCUCAAGGUCACCAUGAACUGCACAGCACGUCCACCACUAACCUUGCAGUAUGAAACCGUGUCUCAAACCCCACUCUCACUCACCCCCGCCCCCCAAAAAAGACUGGAUGGGAGAAAGAAAGGAAGGAUUGAAGGAAGCAAGCAAACAAGAAAAAAAGGGGAAAAAAAAGAUCCAAAGAACCAAAACAGGAGAUUCCAGACAUGGCAAGUGAGGGGCAGAUGGCCAGGCUACUCAUCAAGAAAGACAGGCUGGCCGAGGCCUCCAAAUCUUACCAGUGUGUUAUACAAGCUGAUGUCCACCUCCAGACCACUUCUUAGAUGGAAGAACUUCACGAUGGGCACCUUGGCUGUUGUGAUAGGAAGGAUAUUCCUCAACCCUGUAAGGGAAGAAAGAUGAGUGAUUAAACACAACUUGGGAGGGGUGAUUCUCAUGCUAAUGCGCCAUGAGAAACAAGAUCUAACUUCAGCUGUCUCAUUGUAUCCAUUACAACUAACCGAACAAUUGUUACUAAGUAGGAGGACACCUGGCAAAGUAGGCAUCUGCUAUAUACAUGGAUGUUUGAAUGACAAGAACAGACUGGUUAAGGAGAACUCGCAAGUGCAUGUGCAAGUGGUGUGCAGAGGUCCGUUCCCACACAGGAGCUCUGCAGUUUGCACACCCGAGCUCUCCUACCCAGUCCAUCUGACUGACAGUCCAUGGAGCAUCAUCUCAAUGUCUGACACAGCAGUCACCACAGAGCUAGAAGCAAUGGACUGAAGGAGAAGGAAGGAACUGACUUUGCAGGUGAGGAGACUGCUUGAGCUACACUUUGAAAAGAAAAAUGCUGAAACAGUGGGGGUGGAGGCUAUUUACCAGACAAGGAAAAUGGAACAAAAAGGCUUGAGGGCCCUUCCAGGACACUAUGUAGGCUGGAGAAUGGACUUGGGGGGACCAGGAAAGAAACAGAGGAAUUAUCUUUGAGGAGAAAGAAGCCAGUGAGGGCAUAAGUACUAGAGAAUCAAGGCACAAUAGUAGGCCAGAAACACAGGGACAGAGGCAGGGUGACCACUCCUGAUGAACUGUCAUGGUGGCCUGAGGACGCAGAGAUGGAGGAUCACAUAUGUGAAGAGAAGACAGUGGUCUCGACUUUUAACUUCACCUUGCAUGAGGAGAACAAGAGACCUCAGGUGUCACUCACAUACAUGCAAGCAGUAAGCUAUGGAGCCGGGCUGAAUCCAGGCAGCUCCAACCUCACUGUGUGCCCUGCGACUAGUGGCCGUCUGCUUAUUCUGAUGACUCCAUAGAUGACAGUGCUUAAGUCUAGAUGAGAUUUAGAGAAGAACGGGCAGAGGCAGCAGAAGGCAAAUGUAAAAUAAAGCAGCAAGCCCAAGUUCACACACAUGGCAUGGACAAGUGGGAACUCUGGAAUCCAGAGCCCCCAUGAACAUUGCACUCUGCUUUCCCUUCAGGGAGUCUACGAUGGUAGACCUCUCAUUUGACACUCUUAAGCCUUCCUUGAAGACCUAUUCCUUGCAUGUCCCCCUGGCUCCAUUUUAUAAUCCCAAAGCCUUCUGUCUAUCCACUCCAAUAAAAGGAGACAAAGACCUUUUAA